Molecule: unclassified non-coding RNA, 274 nt
Filed under: fungal sp.
Lineage: Eukaryota; Fungi
Description: partial internal transcribed spacer region
Rfam family: Eukaryotic small subunit ribosomal RNA (bases 1-46)
Source: RNAcentral
AAGUCGUAACAAGGUAACCGUAGGUGAACCUGCGGUUGGAUCAUUACCAAAUCCAAACCUGGUGCUUUGGGGAAGCGCCUGCCCGCCCUGUGCGGACGGGGGCCCCCCUCAGUGCCUUCCACCCCAUGUGCAAUGUUAUACUGGGGGCGCGGCUCGCGUCGUGUCCCCUUUCACAACCAUGUAUUUCUCCAAUCACCUGACGUUGACACUCGUGGGGUCUCCCCAUUAGAGCUUAACGAAAAAACAACUUUUGACAACGGAUCUCUUGGCUCUC